GUUAAUAUUAUACAUGUACGAGUAUCAGAUGUCAUUACAUUACCUCGAGACUGUCGUUAACACGAAUGUACAGAAGACAAGCACUAAGUAUUUAUGCCGGGAAACUCCGACAGGGUGAUCCAGACUCUGUGGUAACCAGCACCAAUCCGUAAUAGCAGAAUGCCGAAGCUAGCCAUAUAAACCAUAACAACAGAGUGGUCCGAUACAGGCUGGGACUCAGAAGGGACCUGAAGCUCUCGGUGGAGUUGGGCUCUUCAUCGGCAAUCAAUCGACCAAUAAGCAUAUGACGCUUAUUAUUCUGAGCUAUUUAAGCAAAUCAAAUUAUACAUUAGGAUUUACAUGUGUACAUUCUCGUAUAUACAUGACUAUAUCCUUACCUGCUCCAGAACCCUUAGAGCUUUAUCAUUACGUCCAUUAUUUGAGUGAUAUCGAGCUGAUUCGCUAAGCCACUAAAAGUUUUUAAUAUAUUUCUUUGAUGUUAAUAGAUAAUCCAUUUAAAUACCAGGGAGAGCAGUGUGAAAAUUAAUAGCGGGGUCGCCGACAAUCCCAAAAGUCCUCGCCAUCCAAAGUAGGGAUAUAUGUAUAACCAAGGCCAAGACCACCUCGAAGCACGCUCCCAAUGUCCAGAAGCACUAGACAACGCACUUCCCUUUGUGCUUGGUGGGCAGAAACUCUGCAUACAACGUCACACUACAAAGUACAUUUAUUGGAGAAUGGAAGAGCUGAAUUUUUACGCCAAGGCUAUACUCACGAUUGCGGAACGCAUCCGAUGGUGAACCCAACGAGCCCUCUCAGCGUUAAAAGCCAAGCAUAGCUGGGUGCAACUGAGCUUAGAAUGCUAUAUAAAACUAAGAAUACUCCAAACAAUGUAAGUGCCUGCAAAGAUAUUUACUGAUUUCAUUUAAAGACUAUUAAAGACUCUCACCGAUUUGCGGCCAUAUCUGUUGCUCAGCUGGGUCCAAAAAGUAGAGCUGAUCAUCAUUCCCAAAAACACAAUUGUUGUCACGGAAGCCUGCUGGAACUUGGUUACGUUCCACUCGCAGAACAAUGCCGGACCGAUUAUGCUCAGAAUAGCCAUCUCCAUGGAGUCCGCCAUCCAGCAGAGCCCCACUAACAGGGACAACUUCACAUGAAACCAUCCAAAUCCGAAUGCAUUAAUAGCUUGCUGAACCGUUUGGGAUUCGUUACGUACCAUCGGGGUUAAUGGAUACUGUCUUUAGCUCUAAGUUG
Molecule: long non-coding RNA, 1230 nt
Organism: Drosophila miranda
Lineage: Eukaryota; Metazoa; Arthropoda; Insecta; Diptera; Drosophilidae
Exons: 5
Source: RefSeq, a predicted model, not a curated record